This is a long non-coding RNA of Larimichthys crocea (large yellow croaker), 332 nucleotides long. RefSeq lists it as uncharacterized. The transcript has 3 exons. The record is from RefSeq and is a predicted model, not a curated record. NCBI's taxonomy places the organism in Eukaryota, Metazoa, Chordata, Actinopteri, Sciaenidae.
CCACCAGAAAGAAAAUGUCUUUAUAAGCUUCAGUCUCUCUUCUCCUCACACUCCAACCCUGCUCACCUCUCAGCUGGACAGUAAGAGACGUUUACACCACACACUGACAACAUGCUGGGGACCCUCUGCACUCUCAUCACUGCUCUAACAUGUGUGAGUGGUGUGACGGUGGUGACACAGAAGCCUCCUGUUGUGACAAUGAGGAAAGGAGAGACAGCCACCAUGGACUGUAACCUGGGAACUGUUACUGGUAGUGCUGCUCGUUGAUACAAACAGAUUCCUGGAGGAGUUCCUCAGUUUGUCUUAAGUUUUCAUCACGGCUGGAGCUCUCC